Molecule: microRNA, 21 nt
Filed under: Mus musculus (house mouse)
Lineage: Eukaryota; Metazoa; Chordata; Mammalia; Rodentia; Muridae
Description: mmu-miR-1199-3p
Source: miRBase by way of RNAcentral
UGCGGCCGGUGCUCAGUCGGC